This 391-nucleotide ribosomal RNA is filed under the name uncultured bacterium. Its description in RNAcentral is "bacterial SSU rRNA". It matches the Rfam family "Bacterial small subunit ribosomal RNA", at positions 28 to 420 of the family's 1533-position model. The record is from RNAcentral.
GACGAACGCUGGCGGCGUGCUUAACACAUGCAAGUCGAGCGGUAAGGCCCUUUCGGGGGUACACGAGCGGCGAACGGGUGAGUAACACGUGGGUGACCUGCCCUUAGCUCUGGGAUAAGCCUGGGAAACUGGGUCUAAUACCGGAUAUGACUCCGCGGCGCAUGUUGUGGGGUGGAAAGCCUUGUGCGGCUGGAGAUGGGCCCGCGGCCUAUCAGCUUGUUGGUGGGGUGAUGGCCUACCAAGGCGACGACGGGUAGCCGGCCUGAGAGGGCGACCGGCCACACUGGGACUGAGACACGGCCCAGACUCCUACGGGAGGCAGCAGUGGGGAAUCUUGCGCAAUGGGCGAAAGCCUGACGCAGCGACGCCGCGUGAGGGAUGACGGCCUGGU